This is a non-coding RNA of Paramuricea clavata, 747 nucleotides long. Lineage: Eukaryota; Metazoa; Cnidaria; Anthozoa; Malacalcyonacea; Plexauridae. The record is from the annotation of a GenBank genome assembly.
UUCAGUAUGAUCCAAGAUAGUUAAUUGGAAAUCUGCUACAUUUUAGCAGAUCACGUGACCAGGGUCUUUUCUCCCCAAGCGGGAAAGACCCUGGGUUACGGGUUGAGUGAAUGCCUCUCAUAAGUCAUAAGCGCACUGGCUAGGAACUGAACAUUGCAACGGUUACGUCAAAAUCAUAGAAAACCAAGAAGUCGACCUUCUGUAUGAGUUGCCUUAUGUCUCCAAUCUGUUACUAGGCACUGAUCUAAUAUUUAACGGUGUUAGAAAUGGACCUUUCCCCUUAUAACUAAAAUUUCGAUCCAGACAAAAAUUUCAUCAUAGCUUUAAAGAGCAUCACAAAAUUAGUAAUAUUCCAAAGUUUUGUUGCAAAAUCUUGUAAAAUGCGGAUAAUAUAGCCUUGCGAAGUUUGCCGUUUUUCAGUCAUUUUGUAUUACAAACGGGAAAUUGACAUACGAUUCGGGUGUUGGGGCUGCAAUUUCCCGUUUGUAAUCUAAAAUGAUUGAAAAUUGCAAACUUCGCAAGGCUCUAUUUUCCUCAUUUUACAACAUUUCGCAACGAAACUUUGGAAUAUUACUAAUUUUGUGAUGCUCUUUCAAGCUGUGAUGAAAUAUUUUUCUCAAAUUCAUUAAUAAUUCAUGAGCAAUUCAGCCAAUGAUAAUCACCUAUUUGAUCACAAGAUGCCAUUUGGAUAACCCGGUGAAACUUGAUGAAAGUCACUAGUGUUUUCAUCAAAUAUCUUAAUUACGC